ACGUACAAGCAGUGGGAGCACAGGUUUACCUGUGUGACUGCGUACCUUUUGUAUAAUGGGUCAGCGACUUAUAUUCUGUAGCAAGGUUAACCGUAUAGGGGAGCCGGAGGGAAACCGAGUCUUAAUUGGGCGUUAAGUUGCAGGGUAUAGACCCGAAACCCGGUGAUCUAGCCAUGGGCAGGUUGAAGGUUGGGUAACACUAACUGGAGGACCGAACCGACUAAUGUUGAAAAAUUAGCGGAUGACCUGUGGCUGGGGGUGAAAGGCCAAUCAAACCGGGAGAUAGCUGGUUCUCCCCGAAAGCUAUUUAGGUAGCGCCUCGUGAAUUCAUCUCCGGGGGUAGAGCACUGUUUCGGCUAGGGGGCCAUCCCGGCUUACCAACCCGAUGCAAACUGCGAAUACCGGAGAAUGUUAUCACGGGAGACACACGGCGGGUGCUAACGUCCGUCGUGAAGAGGGAAACAACCCAGACCGCCAGCUAAGGUCCCAAAGUCAUGGUUAAGUGGGAAACGAUGUGGGAAGGCCCAGACAGCCAGGAUGUUGGCUUAGAAGCAGCCAUCAUUUAAAGAAAGCGUAAUAGCUCACUGGUCGAGUCGGCCUGCGCGGAAGAUGUAACGGGGCUAAACCAU
This 629-nucleotide ribosomal RNA is filed under the name Salmonella enterica subsp. enterica serovar Paratyphi B var. L(+) tartrate +. RNAcentral describes it as "partial 23S ribosomal RNA". It matches the Rfam family "Bacterial large subunit ribosomal RNA", at positions 562 to 1190 of the family's 2925-position model. Lineage: Bacteria; Pseudomonadati; Pseudomonadota; Gammaproteobacteria; Enterobacterales; Enterobacteriaceae. The record is from RNAcentral.